Small nucleolar RNA from Octodon degus (degu), 105 nucleotides. RefSeq annotates it as small nucleolar RNA U13. Lineage: Eukaryota; Metazoa; Chordata; Mammalia; Rodentia; Octodontidae. The transcript has a single exon. The record is from RefSeq and is a predicted model, not a curated record.
AUGAUUCUUCGGUUCAUGAGUGUGAUGAUUGGGCAUUUAUGCCUUAUGCAUGAGGCAUGCCUCCCUCAAACCUUGUUACGACGUGGACACAUUACCCGUCUGACA